GAUGAACGCUGGCGGCGUGCCUAAUACAUGCAAGUCGAGCGAACAGACGAGGAGCUUGCUCCUCUGACGUUAGCGGCGGACGGGUGAGUAACACGUGGAUAACCUACCUAUAAGACUGGGAUAACUUCGGGAAACCGGAGCUAAUACCGGAUAAUAUAUUGAACCGCAUGGUUCAAUAGUGAAAGACGGUUUUGCUGUCACUUAUAGAUGGAUCCGCGCCGCAUUAGCUAGUUGGUAAGGUAACGGCUUACCAAGGCAACGAUGCGUAGCCGACCUGAGAGGGUAAUCGGCCACACUGGAACUGAGACACGGUCCACACUCCUACGGGAGGCAGCAGUAGGGAAUCUUCCGCAAUGAGCGAAAGCCCGACGGAGCAACGCCGCGUGAGUGAUGAAGGUCUUCGGAUCGUAAAACUCUGUUAUUAGGGAAGAACAAAUGUGUAAGUAACUAUGCACGUCUUGACGGUACCUAAUCAGAAAGCCACGGCUAACUACGUG
Molecule: ribosomal RNA, 497 nt
Filed under: uncultured bacterium
Lineage: Bacteria
Description: partial 16S ribosomal RNA
Rfam family: Bacterial small subunit ribosomal RNA
Source: RNAcentral